GAUGAAGAACGCAGUGAAAUGCGAUAAGUAAUGUGAAUUGCAGAAUUCAGUGAAUCAUCGAAUCUUUGAACGCACAUUGCGCCCGCCAGUAUUCUGGCGGGCAUGCCUGUUCGAGCGUCAUUACAACCCUCAGGCCCCCGGGCCUGGCGUUGGGGAUCGGCGGAGCCCCCCGUGGGCACACGCCGUCCCCCAAAUGCAGUGGCGGUCCCGCCGCAGCUUCCAUCGCGUAGUAGCUAACACCUCGCGACUGGAGAGCGGCGCGGCCACGCCGUAAAACACCCAACUCUUCUGAAGUUGACCUCGAAUCAGGUAGGAAUACCCGCUGAACUUAAGCAUAUCAAUAAGCGGGGA
RNAcentral lists this unclassified non-coding RNA (351 nucleotides) under soil metagenome. Its description in RNAcentral is "partial contains 5.8S ribosomal RNA, internal transcribed spacer 2, and large subunit ribosomal RNA". The stretch from base 1 to 120 matches the Rfam family "5.8S ribosomal RNA", at positions 35 to 154 of the family's 154-position model. The record is from RNAcentral.